AAGCAAAAGCAGAUAAAGUAGAAGAGAUUGAGUAUGACAGAAGAACAACUCCAUACUGUUGACUACUCAACAGCAGGUUUGAUGAGAGCAGCUCCUCUUCCACAAAGAAGUUAACUAAUGUCCAGCAUGCUUUUAUGUUAACACGUGAACUAAUGCAAGGCCCUGAAUCGCAGUCAAGGUGCAACUGUACCAGCUGCUGCUAUCCUCAGCAGUUUGUGAAGUUGAUAUGCCUCCUACAGAAGACUGAGGAGAAUCACGAAUUUAUGCCUAAAGGCAAGUGGCGAGUCACUUAUACUUUGGAGUAUGUAAGAACAUAUGUGGGUGUAAAUUACAUAUUUUACCGUCUUUGGAGGUGUAUGAAUUGAUUGUGGCCCUGUAAAUUGGGUUUUCUCUUUUGCUUUGGGCCAACUGAUAUGCCUAUAGCAAAUGCCUUACCUCUUUUAGGAAGUCUAAUGGAAUUGUAACAGGCUGCUGUUUGAAUGGAGGGAUGCUUUAAUGGAGUGAGGGGAAAAGCAAAAAUUGCAAUGCCAUUCCCUUGCCUACCAUGUAUAUAUAUACACACAGAUACAGA
Molecule: long non-coding RNA, 571 nt
Organism: Tyto alba (common barn owl)
Lineage: Eukaryota; Metazoa; Chordata; Aves; Strigiformes; Tytonidae
Exons: 3
Source: RefSeq, a predicted model, not a curated record